GCGUAGACCUCGUCAUCGAGGGCACGGGGGUGUUCGUCGACCGCGAGGGCGCCGGGAAGCACAUCCAGGCGGGAGCCAAGAAGGUGCUCAUCACGGCGCCAGGGAAGGGCGACAUCCCCACCUACGUCUGCGGCGUCAAUGCUGACCAGUACAACCCCGACGAGCCCAUCAUCAGCAACGCCUCCUGCACCACCAACUGUCUCGCGCCCUUCGUCAAGGUCCUCGACCAGAAGUUCGGUGCGUGCUCCAUUAUAUAUGCUCUCUUCUGCAAUAUUGUAAUGAGUCCAUGUCCCGAUCAGGCUUGGCAUGACGAUGCUUACUAAGACCUAGCAAUUAAUAUGAUGCAUCGCAUCGCAGGCAUCAUCAAGGGCACCAUGACCACCACCCACUCCUACACCGGUGACCAGAGGCUGCUGGACGCCAGCCACCGCGACCUGCGCCGCGCCCGCGCCGCCGCGCUCAACAUCGUGCCCACCUCCACCGGCGCCGCCAAGGCCGUGGCGCUGGUGCUCCCCAACCUCAAGGGCAAGCUCAACGGGAUCGCGCUCCGGGUGCCCACCCCGAACGUCUCCGUCGUCGACCUCGUCGUGCAGGUCUCCAAGAAGACCCUCGCCGAGGAGGUGAACCAGGCGUUCCGCGACAGCGCCGCCAACGAGCUCGCCGGCAUCCUCGAGGUCUGCGACGCCCCGCUCGUGUCCGUCGA
RNAcentral lists this long non-coding RNA (703 nucleotides) under Setaria italica (foxtail millet). RNAcentral's name for it is "long non-coding RNA (SITA_LNC005281)". The record is from RNAcentral. Lineage: Eukaryota; Viridiplantae; Streptophyta; Magnoliopsida; Poales; Poaceae.